GGGAUCUUUGGAAUUAGGGUUUUUGAAUUCGAAGAGUAUAAGAGCAUGUUUAUAGGCAUACCUUAGGAAUGGUUUUUAGCUUAAUUCGGAAUUAAAAUAAAUGAAAAAUGGUGUUUAAAGGAAGAGGCGUCCCUUAAUUAGCACCUCGAAGACACGCCUCUUAUAGGGCACGUGUCGUAGUAUUACUGGGGGGACUCGCGGUGUCGGGGUUUCGAGCGUGUUUCUUUUUUUUCUUUUUUCUCUUUCGGUUCCUAUUCUCUCCUCGCGAAAGGCGAUGGCGAUUUGAAUGGCGAUUCUCUCCUCUUGGUGGCUCUCGUCGACGAAACGGUGACGGUUCUAGCGGUGGGUCUCGGCGACGAAGGGAAACGGAGACCUUUCUAUCAGUGGCUCUCAUCGACCAAGGAAAACGCCGACCUCUCUCUCUAUCGGUGGCUCUCUGAGACGGGUAACAACGGUGUUCCUUGCGGCUGAGGCGAAUCGAAAAGGUGGAUUGAUCAAGAGGCAUGAGCCAGUCUUUAGGUGAAUUGAUCAAGAGAAAUGCAGAGAUGGAGAUGAAAAAAAUGGAGGUAUGAUUCUCAAUCAAAAUACAUUGUGGACCGGUUUAAACAGAUUUGGUGUUGGUUUGGAUUGAAUAUUUAAUCGAAUAGUUUCUUUGAAAAUUAAUAAAUAUCUUUAAAUUGUUUUGAAGUUUGAAUUGAAAGUGUGAUCAAUGUGUGAAUUAAAUCGUUGGUUAGUGUGAUCAAUGCGCGAAUUGGAUCAAUGUUUGAAAGCGUUUCUAAUGAUUCUUCAUUUGUUUUCUGUGUUUGUGUCGCUACAUGGAUGAAUCGAGAGGCAUGAUACUGGCAUGAUCCAGGAUUGAUCAAGAGACGUGAAGUGGGCACAAAACCUGUCUCUUUGUCAGACAAAACCACCACGAUCGUAAAUGUUGGAGAGGUCACAAGAGUGUUGUAGUUGGAGAGGUCACGAGAGGUACAUGACAUGCUGUUGGAGAGGUCACGAGAGUGUUGUAGUGUUGUGUCUGUCAAGUAUUCAGGAGAGAGAGGUCACGAGAAGUGUAUGUUGUUGUUGUUGUGCUCUAGGUCACGAGAAAUUAUCUUUGUGUGUGUGUGUUUGUCACGAGAAGUGUAUGUUGUUGUUGUUGUACUCUAGUGUCACGAGAAAGGUUGUAAUUGUGUCUGUGUCACGAGACAUUUUUUAUCUUUAUAUAUGGAUGGCUCUUGUUAUAUAUGAUCACAAACACAUUCUUCUCUCUGUUCUUAUUUCUCUCUCUUUUUCAUCUCACAUUCUCUCCGGUUAUGGAAUGAUUAUGGAAUGAUUAUUUGAGGCCAUCUCCGGUUAUGGAAUGAUUAUUUCAGUGACGCUCCUAUAUAUCCAGAAAAUCUAUUCCGACGAUGAUUUAGAAUGAACAAGCCAUUGUUCAAACAUAUUGUUGAUCGUCUCUCCAAUGAAGUUCAAUUCUUUCGUCAGAAGAAAGACGUUGCCGGAAGGCUUGGUCUCUCCACACUUCAAAAGUGUACAGCAGCUAUUCGUGUGUUGGCAUAUGGUUCUGCGCUUGAUGCGGUCGACGAAUACCUCAGGCUCGGUGCAACCACUACUCGGUUAUGUGUGGAAAAUUUUGUGGAAGCAGUAAUAAAUUAGUUCAGUUCGGCGAUUAGUACCUAAGAAGACCAACACGGAUGAUCUUCAACGUCUACUUCAUAUUGGAGAGCUUGUGGAUUUCCCGGGAUGAUAGGAAGCAUCGAUUGUAUGCAUUGGGAGUGGAAGAAUUGUCCCACCGCUUGGAAAGGACAAUAUUCUCGUGGUUCGGGAAAAUCUACAAUCGUUUUAGAGGCGGUAGCUUCAUAUGAUCUCUGGAUAUGACAUGCGUUUUUUGGACCUCCAGGUACCUUAAAUGAUAUUAAUGUUCUUGAUCGCUCACAUGUUUUUGAUGACAUAAUAAAUGGUCGAGCCCCGCAAGUGAAUUUCUCGGUCGACAGAAGAGAGUACCAUUUGGCUUACUAUCUCACCGAUGGUAUUUAUCCAAAAAGAGCAACUUUUAUCCAAUUUAUUCCAAUUCCACAAGGGCCGAAAACAGUUUUAUUUAUGCAACGUCAAGAAGCUGUCCGAAAAGAUGUCGAGUGUGCUUUCGGAGUUUUGCAAGCUUGAUUUGCCAUUGUUAAAAAUCCGGCACUUUCGUGGGAUAAAGUCAAGAUUGAGAAGAUUAUGAGAGCAUGUAUCAUACUCCAUAAUAUGAUAGUGGAAGACGAACGAGAUGAAUACACUCAAUAUGAUGUCUCAGAUUUCCAACAAGGAGAAGAGAGCGGAAGUUCACAUGUCGAUCUCACCUAUUCUACAGAUAUCCCUACUAAUAUCGCCAAUCAGAUGGGUGUUCGAACAAGAAUUCAUGAUAGACAAGCGCAUCAACAACUGAAAGGUGAUUUUGUUGAACAUAUAUGGCGUAAAUUUGGAAGUGAUCAAGACAACAACUGAGCUUCGAUGCCUCUUUGAAAUUAUUAUCGUUUAUUUUAGUAAUUUUUGUUUUUAUGUUUUUAUGUUUGUACUUUAAAAUCUAUGUUUAAAAUGUUACGUUUGACUUUGUUUUAUUUAAUAAAUAAAUUUAAUAUUUUUAAAAA
Molecule: long non-coding RNA, 2612 nt
Organism: Brassica napus (rape)
Lineage: Eukaryota; Viridiplantae; Streptophyta; Magnoliopsida; Brassicales; Brassicaceae
Exons: 4
Source: RefSeq, a predicted model, not a curated record